Long non-coding RNA from Amphiprion ocellaris (clown anemonefish), 2725 nucleotides. The record is from Ensembl. NCBI's taxonomy places the organism in Eukaryota, Metazoa, Chordata, Actinopteri, Pomacentridae.
UUCAUGGUUUACUUUAGGUUUAUUAAAGAUCACUUUGUAGUUUCUUGGAGGUUCUGCUGAUCAGUUCCACCUGCAGAAACAAACACAGCAGUCAGUCCCUGAACCAGCAGCUUCUUCUACACUCCAUGUUCCAGCUGCUUCUUACCUCCUUAGACCUUGGUUCCAGUUCCUGUUCCAGGUCCUUGGCUGGGAUCUCCCGGGUUCACCGGAGAGAAAAACGGGCCAAAGUCAUCUGGGGAGUAUUUAGAGUGGGAGAGGAGUUCUCUGGCUCGCUGGUAGCCAUUACUGGACUGGACGAUGUAGGACGUAGGACCACGAACAACCAAUGGGAAGGGGUCGGUGGGAAUGUUAUCAGGGAUCCAGACUGAGGGGUCUGGGAGACGGACAAACCUUGGUCCUUGGCUGGGAUCUCCUGGGUUCACCGGAGAGUAAAACGGGCCAAAGUCAUCUGGGGAGUAUUUAGAGUGGGAGAGGAGUUCUCUGGCUCGCUGGUAGCCGUUACUGGACUGGACGAUGUAGGACGUAGGACCACGAACAACCAAUGGGAAGGGGUCGGUGGGAAUGUUAUCAGGGAUCCAGACUGAGGGGUCUGGGAGACGGACAAACCUUGGUCUCAAGUCCUUGGCUGGGAUCUCCUGGGUUCACUGGAGAGAAAAACGGGCCAAAGUCAUCUGGGGAGUAUUUAGAGUGGGAGAGGAGUUCUCUGGCUCGCUGGUAGCCGUUACUGGACUGGACGAUGUAGGACGUAGGACCACGAACAACCAAUGGGAAGGGGUCUGUGGGAAUGUUAUCAGGGAUCCAGACUGAGGGGUCUGGGAGACGGACAAACCUUGGUCUCAAGUCAUUUAUAUCGUAGGAGAACCCCUGUGGGUAGUUAAUCAAAGGAGUAAAUCCUGCAGAUCCAAAGGGCAAAGAACUGCUGAAGAAACCAGAGCCUCCUGAACCACCAGAUCCCCCAGAGCCUCCAGAACCACCAAAUCCCCCAGAACCACCAGAGCCAGCUCCUCCUCCAGUUCCUCCACCAGCUCCUCCAGAACCUGUUUGACCUGAAUCCAGACACAAACCAACAUGUUCACGGCUCUGAUCCACUCAUGUGGACACCAGCAGCUAAAUAAAUCCACAUCCAGCUGCUGGAGCUGCCUUCAGACACGUUGAACUUCAUUUAAAGCUGCUUCAGGUCAACAUGUCUGCAGACUCACCUUUACUUAGAAAAGGGUAACAAGCUCCAGAGCUGAGGAGCAGGAAGCAGAUCCAGGAGACCCUGUGGAGAGCAGAAAGCAGCCUGUAAACAGCAGCACAUGGAAGCCCACCUGCAGCAUGAAGCGCAGCAGCUCACCUGAGAACAGAUUCCAGCAGCAUGUCCAGCUGUGAGAAGAAGCCGAGGCCACAGAGUUCAGCUCCAGCAGCCUCCUCACUGCUGAUCAACCUGCUGGAGCUGAACUCUGUGGCCUCGGCUUCUUCUCACAGCUGGACAUGCUGCUGGAAUCUGUUCUCAGGGUCUUCUGGAUCUGCUUCCUGCUCCUCAGCUCUGGAGCUUGUUACCCUUUUCUAAUUAAAGGUCAAACAGGUUCUGGAGGAGCUGGUGGAGGAACUGGAGGAGCUGGUGGAGGAGCUGGUGCUGGUGGUUCUGGGGGAUCUGGUGGUUCUGGAGGAUCUGGUGGUUCAGGAGGCUCUGGUUUCUUCAGCAGUUCUUUGCCCUUUGGAUCUGCAGGAUUUACUCCUUUGAUUAACUACCCACAGGGGUUCUCCUACGAUAUAAAUGACUUGAGACCAAGGUUUGUCCGUCUCCCAGACCCCUCAGUCUGGAUCCCUGAUAACAUUCCCACCGACCCCUUCCCAUUGGUUGUUCGUGGUCCUACGUCCUACAUCGUCCAGUCUAGUAACGGCUACCAGCGAGCCAGAGAACUCCUCUCCCACUCUAAAUACUCCCCAGAUGACUUUGGCCCGUUUUUCUCUCCGGUGAACCCAGGAGAUCCCAGCCAAGGACCUGGACCUGGAACCGGAACCAAGGUCUAAGGAGGUGGAACUGAUCAGCAGAACCUCCAAGAAACUACGACGUAACCUUUAAUAAACCUUAAGUAAACAUGAAUCUGAGUAUCUGUGCUUGACUUUAACGCCAUUGAUUUAAACUGGUUUAGUUUGACUUUAAACAGCUGGUUUUCUUAAACUAUCAAGCAGCCGUUCCAAUAAUUCUGGCUGCUGUAGUUUAAAGUCUCUCAGGUGUUUCUCCUGCAUCUUAUCAGCUCAGAGGUAAGAAAAUGGAGGAUGACCUGGAACAAAUGACACCGUGUCUGGGACCAAAUGCAGCUAUAGUGAAGAACCUGACAGUAAAGUGACUCUAAAGCGUCUUGUGUAGAUGAGUAGUUCUACUGAAUUUGUUCUGACCAUUAAACCCUAGACCUCUCCUUCCUUGGUUGGAGUUCUGUUCUCAGCUGAUCUAGUAAACUGGAAUUGUGACCAAAGUAAACCAUGAAUCUGAGUUUGUCUGACUUGAACUUUACUGAAGGUUUAAAUGAGUUUUAACUCUUUAAACGGUUGGUUUUCUUCAAUUCUCCUGAAGUUAUCUUUAACUGGCUGCUCCUGUAGUUUAACAUUGCCAUGAAGGUAUUUGAGCUACAAAUCAGGAGAACAAGGGUGAAAACUCUGCUUUUCUGGGACCAAAUAAAGCAGUUCGCUUAAAAGUGAUGUUUUUCUGUGUAGAUUAAUGGACUAAAGUGGUUUUUCC